GGCUGCGUGCUGGCUCCCAGAAGAGGAACCUGCUGCAGGCGCCGGCGCGGGCGGCGAGGACGACCUGUUUUUCUGACCCAGCCCGGAAGCGCUGGUGCAGGCCCUGUGCUGCAAGGCGCCCAUACCUCCAGUCCGCACCUCAGGAGUCCUUCCCGUGUCCUCUGGGAGUUCCUGCCCAUGCUGGCUGAGGCCCCAGGCCUUGAGCUUCCUUUUUUCUUCUCGCUGUGGAAAUUGCCUGGAAAGCUAUGAACUGUUGGUUCUUGAAUCAGUUGGCUGCCCCGGAUGUCUGAAUCCCUUGGAAGGAACCUGGAGGAGUUGGCUGAUGGGCUCCAGAGCGGGGCACUUGAGAUGUUCAAAGUGCUUCCUGAGAGACGGCCAAAGGGUGUUCCCUGGGUGGCCUGGGAGUCCAAGAGACAUGUACUCUGGGGCAGGAAGAGGGCAGGUGCUACCGGAUCACCCUAACAACCCUCUGGGACCUGUGGCCAUGUGUUCACAACAGCAGCCAUUACAGGUGUUUCCUGAACUCUUGUCGCGAGCCUCUGUCGGCUCCAUCUCAUCGAUCCUCCCAGCAACCCACAAGGAAGCUUCACAGAGAGGCAGAUGCCACACAGGCCACCCACCCAGAUGCAGAGCCAGAUUCCCUGCGUGGACUGGACGGGAGUUUCCCAGCUGGAGUUCUCUCGGCCAAGCUGCCUGUGACAUGGGGUUGGAGGUGCUCCAGAGAGUCAUGGCCACCCCUGGAGGAAGUGACUUGUGGCUGACUGCUCAAGGGGAAGUCCUGUGGCAGUGGAGUCGUCAGCAUUAAUUCAAAUAAGAUCUCUCCCUGCACACAAUCUGCUUUCGUGUUCCUGAUGGAUUGAAUCAAGAGUGAAUGAGCUCCUACUUCGCGAAAGCAAAACAAACUAAACGCAUCAACCACGACCGCAGAGCCCCCAUCUCUCCCAGGAGGGUGAGCCCAUGUUGUGUUUUCAUUUGUCAGAAAUCUAUCUUAGGAAGCCAUUCCUGAGAUCUGUUCUAAUUUAGGCCAUUUUUAAAAAAAAUAAUGCAGUUGAUUCUUUUCCCGUGAUCUUUCUUUUCUCCAUGACUUAAAUUUCCCCAGGAACUAUUCAAAUGCCGCAUCUGGGGUUUUGUUUUUGUUUUUUGAUGAAGUCAUGACUUUCUUUAAACAGUAAUUAUUAAACAAACCAAAGGGAAA
RNAcentral lists this long non-coding RNA (1195 nucleotides) under Homo sapiens (human). Its description in RNAcentral is "long intergenic non-protein coding RNA 299". The record is from RNAcentral. Lineage: Eukaryota; Metazoa; Chordata; Mammalia; Primates; Hominidae.